RNAcentral lists this ribosomal RNA (508 nucleotides) under uncultured bacterium. Its description in RNAcentral is "partial 16S ribosomal RNA". It matches the Rfam family "Bacterial small subunit ribosomal RNA", at positions 28 to 523 of the family's 1533-position model. The record is from RNAcentral.
GAUGAACGCUAGCUACAGGCUUAACACAUGCAAGUCGAGGGGAAACGAUAUUGGAAGCUUGCUUCCGAUAGGCGUCGAUCGGCGCACGGGUGAGUAACGCGUAUCCAACCUGCCCAUCACUUGGGGAUAACCUUGCGAAAGUAAGACUAAUACCCAAUGACGUCUCUGGAAGACAUCUGAAGGAGAUUAAGGAUUUAUCGGUGAUGGAUGGGGAUGCGUGGGAUUAGCUUCUUGGCGGGGUAACGGCCCACCAAGGCGACGAUCAGUAGGGGUUCUGAGAGGAAGGUCCCCCACAUUGGAACUGAGACACGGUCCAAACUCCUACGGGAGGCAGCAGUGAGGAAUAUUGGUCAAUGGGCGAGAGCCUGAACCAGCCAAGUAGCGUGCAGGAAGACGGCCCUAUGGGUUGUAAACUGCUUUUAUAAGGGAAUAAAGUGGGAGUCGUGACUCCUUUUGCAUGUACCUUAUGAAUAAGGACCGGCUAAUUCCGUGCCAGCCGCCGCGGUAA